GACGAACGCGGGCGGCGUGCUUAACACAUGCAAGUCUAACGGAAAGGCCCUGCUUUUGUGGGGUGCUCGAGUGGCGAACGGGUGAGUAACCCGUGAGUCACCUGCCCUUGACUUUGGGAUAACUUCAGGAAACUGGGGCUAAUAACGGAUAGGAGCUCCUGCUGCAUGGUGGGGGUGGGAAAGUUUCGGCGGUUGGGGAUGGACCCGCGGCUUAUCAGCUUGUUGGUGGGGUAGUGGCUUACCAAGGCUUUGACGGGUAGCCGGCCUGAGAGGGUGACCUGCCAUAUUGGGACUGAGAUACGGCCCAGACUCCUACGGGAGGCAGCAGUGGGGAAUAUUGAACAAUGGGCGGAAGACUGACGCAGCAACGCCGCGUGCGGGAUGACGGCCUUCGCGUUGUAAACCUCUUUCGCCUGUGACGAAGCGUGGGUGACGGUAAUGGGUAAAGAAGCACCGGCUAACUACGUG
RNAcentral lists this ribosomal RNA (468 nucleotides) under uncultured bacterium. RNAcentral describes it as "partial 16S ribosomal RNA". It matches the Rfam family "Bacterial small subunit ribosomal RNA", at positions 28 to 507 of the family's 1533-position model. The record is from RNAcentral.